RNAcentral lists this ribosomal RNA (5310 nucleotides) under Triticum aestivum (bread wheat). Its description in RNAcentral is "partial small subunit ribosomal RNA". Lineage: Eukaryota; Viridiplantae; Streptophyta; Magnoliopsida; Poales; Poaceae. The record is from RNAcentral.
GCCUUUGCAUCAAUGCAUGCAAUCAUCUUUAUUAAGUUAUUCAACCGAGUCUAACAAAAUGAAUACAAAGAUCAAACUAAAGUUACCUUCGAGACGAACAAACUCGCUACACAUACAAAUAUAAAGAUGUGCCCCGACCGCAUCAACGGACACCAUCUUAUCCAAUGACCUCAAGAAGUCGCCUGACUGGCAAGUUAAUAGCACCAACCGAUCUAGGCGUUCCACAACAUGCACCGCAUGCGCACGCUCUAGGAUCCGCCGCCGCCAUCUUCCGCCGUCCCACCUUCAGGAGGGAUCAUUGCAUAGACCUUGCCAGACCCAUCUGCUAUUGACGUCACCACAACGCCAGGCAACACCACCAGCCUGCGCGCGUCCAUCAAACCACGUCCAACGCCGAGACUCCAGUGCUCCAAGCCGCCGAGACCCGCCAUCUUCAACGCGGUAGAUGGAACCGCUCCACCUGUUGGCCCCUCCAGUGAACCUCUGCUUCAAAACAAUGCCCUCAGGAGGGAAAACGACACCGUAGUCUCCGUUAUCAUCCGAUCUGGGAGACCCAGAUCUAGGGUUUCCCCCGGGACUGAUGCCCCAUAGAGGAAGAAGGGCACGCCAUCUACACCUACCAACGAACCUAAACAGUGUCCACCAUCACAAAGCUCUCACGGCGAGACCUUCACGAAAGACACGGCGCUUGAGAGUUGUCGCCGCCCACCGCAGUUAAGGUUUUCACCCGAGAAGCAGUGAAGUCGGAAAAGGUAGGACGGACCAGAACGAUGUAUCCAAGAAGAAUAUCGGCACCUGCGAGCGUCGUCGUCGUGAUGGCCGGCUGGAACCGACCACAGAAUUAUCCUGAUCUAGAUCCCCAACUCCCGCUCCACCCACAAAGCGGUGACCGGCUAGCUAGACAGCAUGGCGUCCGGCGAGAUUGGAGCGCACCUAGAUGGGACAGCAGGAAGCGAAGAAAACGGCGCCGUCUGCCGCCGGGGCAUCGCUGCCACGUACGGCCCGAGCCCGUCCCUGUGGACUCCUCAAUCAAAAAGUUAAGGCACAGCACAAUCUACACAAACAGAUAUGGGAUUCAAGAUCGACUAUUACCGUGGUCCCUCGCUGGGAGCAGAGAGGGAAACGACGACGAGGCUGGUGGGUGGAUCUGUGGUCGCUCAGCUCCUUUCAUCCAGCAGUCAAGCAAUGAACCUAGUAAAGUCCUAUCUCUGUUUAAUAUAAAACGUUUUUUAAUAAGACUACCAAAACAUCCUCGCUAGGCAUGCAUGCAUGCUCGACGCCCACUAAGACCUAACUAGUGUCGUACGUGCCGGACCUGACUCCCUCCGUUCCUAAAUAUAAGCUUUUUUAGAUUUCCACUGCAAACUAUAUACGGAUGUAUCUCUACUCCUAAGGGAGCAGUUGGUAGUCUCGCUUCCAGGUUUUUUUUAGUCCCACCUCCCACGGUUUAUUUUGGUACCUCCUCCCACCUCUGACUAAGACAUCACAAACCGAAAAAACCUCCUCCUGAGGCCCGAACCCGCACCUAUCCACAUGCGACCCUCAAAAGACGUACGAAGGUUAACCUGCGACAAAAAAAAACCUACGACGGUUAACCAGCGACGAGUCCUGUUCUCGAGCGAGGCCUCCCUUCGUGGCCGCCCUACAUCCCUGCGCCGCCGCGCUUCAGUCGCUGCCCUCCAUCCUCGCCGCCCUCCAUCCUGGUCGAGGUCGCCGCCCCGCUUCACUCGCCGUCCUCCAUCCGCGUCGAUCCUGGACAAGGUCGCGGCCCUCCAUCACUUCGCCGCCGCGCUGAACACCUCGACGAUCCGGCGCGGGUCCUGGAUCAGGUCGCCGCCGCCCUCCAUCACUUCGCCGCCGCGCUGAACUCCUCGCCCUUGAUCCAGGAUCCAGCGCCGAUCCUGGACGAGGAUAAGCGCACACGUCCAGGAUCCGGCCAGAACACGUCCUGGAUCCGAAAAAUAGGUAUACAAACCAUCUCAUACGUCAAUCGCAUCUCAUACAUCUCAAAUGCCAUACAAUCGCAUCUCAUACAUCUCACAGCCCAUACAUCCAUCGCAUGUCAUACAGCCAUGGCAAGUGCUUUCACAGGGAUGGAUCCGCCUGCGAGAUUGAUUUCUGUUCUACACAGUUUAGACUCAAGUACACAUGUUUACAGAUGGCAAUUGGCAAAAAAAAUACCAAGGGGUAUCCUGCAUCCUGCACUUGUAUAAAUAUGGCAAAAAAGAAAACACAAACCAUACAGGACCCUAGAGUAUGUUUCCACUUGUGCUGAACUGAAGAUAGAACAAAAACACUUGCAUUCUAAGAAAGUACAGAGAUGUAGAAGAUGUAGAUGAAAGUGCCAUUGCAGUAUUUAUGUAGAAUAAAAUACAAUUGCAGUAUAUGCUAGCAACAGGUUGCAGUAUAUAAUAUGUUGAACAAUAACCCUUCCAGAAUGUCAUCAAAUAACUACCAUUUCUGUCUUCAUGAUUUUUGCCAUUCAAUAGUUGCAUAUGGGGAAUUCAAAAAGCACGGUUGGCGAACAUCAACCUGAAGAUGACGUAACUACAGGUAUGAUGCAACCUACCAUGUUUUCGUUUAGUUGCGAGACCUGAAUAUAUGACAGGAUGCAUAAUGUCUUCCAGGUCUUACAAGCGGGAGAAGUGAUGCAGAACACAAUGCGAGCAUCAUACCCGUAGCUGAAAUUGUUGAUAACGUCUACUCGACGGAAUCAGGUAUAAUACUGUCCGGAGAUUGGUUAUAAAUGUUGCUUCACGUCCAUUUCUGAAAGUGGCAGAAUGCAUUAUGUGUUGCAGUCCUUACGGGCGGGAUAAAUGUUGGAGACUACAAUGCAAACUUCAUACCCUUACAUGCAGGUAUAAGACUGUGUCAAGAUUGCUGCUAAUGUUUCGUGCAUAACGUAUAUUUUGUUGAUUGCUAAGAUGUAGGGCGGGAACCUUCAAACGACGGGAUUCCGUCGUAUUCUGAGAAUAAUAAGGAUGGUACGACUAAGCUACGAGAUGAUACUCAAGGUAUUCACAGGCAUGCUUAUACAGCUUCCAAAUCGACAUCUCCCAGAUGAGCUUAAUGGGCUUUGUGGUUUUUACGCUUAACGUAAUGCAGAUGACAAAACUUCCGAGCAGCAUGCAACAGUAGCUGUAUUUAAUGAAGAAAAAAAAACGUUGGCGAAACAAGGGAGCAGUUCAACGCACAGAGGCGUGAAUCUUAUCGGAAGAAAAAAGAGGAGGAUAUGGUCAGGUUACAAGAGUAUAAUCAGCCAUGCCUUUCAAAGACCGGUAAGUAUUUAAGCGUGAUUUUGCUGACUACUCUUGGUUUUUUCUGAAUACCUAUAGUAUGCAAAUUAAUCGUUAUAGUAACCUGACUUCAUAGAUGUUCCCCGUGUUGGUUUCAUAGAUGUUGUAUCAACAUCGAUACUUUUUUUGUUCUCUAACUCUCAUACCUAUUGUAAAAAUGGUAGACCAUAGAGAUCUUAUCAACGCGUGGAGGCGGGCAUCUUAUCGCACUAAGAAGUCAGAUGAUUUUAUAAACCAUCUAGACGAUGGGCCGAUUGUUCACCGUCGUACUCUAUGUGAUAUCACAAAUGUUCAACAACCUUCAUAUGUGAUCCCUGGUACUUAUUUGGUAGAUUUACAAUGUCGUUAAUUACAUGUGUGUAUUUGACAAUCAUACUAUUUGUGAUUAUGUUUAACUUCUCUUUGCUUUCUGAACGCCCGUGGUGGAUAACUAUAGGAACUAAUGUUGGGGCAGAUCAUAUCUUGGGGCAGCUAAUCAAACCCACGCGAGAUGAUAAGCACAGGAAAGUUGAUCUUCGUCCCCUUUGUAAUUCAAGUACGAUUAUUUUAUGUUACAUCCUAGCAUUCAUGGUUCAGCCAUUUUAAUAAAUACUAACCAAGCAUGUUAUAUCAGAUGACCCAGCUAGCUCGGUUGAUACAUCAAUCUCGCAUAAUGAAUCAACAUUUCCUCCUAAAGCUACGGGAGCGUCUGAUGUAAUUGCAGAUAAAAAUAUAAAAGGUAAAAUGAUUGUGCUUUUUCCAUACUCGUUUGCUGUCAUGUUGUUUUUACCUUUCGCUUUUGAGAGAAACCCAAGGAAGACAUCAGUAGAUAACUUGAAUGAUAGCACAGAAAAUACGCAAGUAACAGAAGAAGAACGCAAACGAGACCGUAAAAAAGCUUUGAGGAGAGCUGCAUAUCGGCAGAGAAAAGAUCGGAAUCUCCAAGAUGAACAUAAUCAGGCCCUUAUUUUAUCUGGUAACCUCUAAAGGUUUUGACCAUUAUAUUCAGUACCCGAUUUCAUGUCUUAAUGAUUAAGUUUUCCACAUGUUUUCAUCAAUUUGUUUAACCAGCCAACCCAACUAGCUCCAACUAUACAUCAUUCUCGGUUGAUGCGACGACAUUUCAUGCUACAACUACUGUCACAUCUGGUCUCAUUAAUGACAUGGAGGUACAAGGUAAUCGAUUUGUGCGUACUCCAUCAUCAAUUGCUGUCAUUGUUAUGUUUUAUUGUCUAAUGUCCUGAUCGACAUCAGAUGUGGUCUUGAAUAACACCCAAGAAACAAAGCAAAAAACCGACGAAGAACUCAAGAGAGAUCGUAGAAAUGCCCUACGAAGAGCUGCUUAUAGGAGGAAAAAGGAUAAGCUUAUCCAUGAUGAAAACAUACGUCCACUUUCGUUAUCAGGUAAAACAUGAUCUAUAUUUUCACCAUGACUUACAUAUCUUGUUUUGCUGCUCAUAGCUAAAUAUUCUUAUAGCCACCAUCAUGCUCGAUGCGUACAGUUUAAUGCUGCAUAUUAAUGCACCAUCAUGGUUUUUUUUCCUAUAGACGUCUUAAAUAAUAUUGGUUCUAACUAUGUUUUAAAAUCAUUACGAAACCAGACAACCCUAAUAGCUCCAGCUAUAUAGAAUUCGAGGGUGACGCAGCAACAUUUCCCCAUUCAACAUUAGACGCGUCUGUUGUCACUCAUGACAAUGAUCUAGCUAGGAGGCAACGUGAUAAUGAGCGGAAAAGAAAUUUAACAAACGCGCAAAGGGAGCAAAUAAACGCACAGAGGCGUGCAGAUUAUCAGCGGAAUAAGGACAAGGUAUCUGUUGAUGUCAGAGAAACAGUGAAUGAAAAAGUACGAGGAAAGCGAAUGCAACGUCGCAAAAGCAUGUCAGUGAUUGAGAAGGGGGAGUCAAGUGCUCAGAGGAAGGCCAAUUAUGCCAGAAGAAAAAACACCCCAUGCAACGAAUCCAUCGCGCUCCCACGUCCAGACCUAGCAAACUCAACCUCUGAAUGUCCCACUUUAAUCUGCCGCGCAUCAUCCGUC